CCCCAGGUCAGGCGGGGCUNCCCGCUGAAUUUAAGCAUANCAAUAAGCGGAGGAAAAGAAACUUACANGGAUUCCCCUNGUA
RNAcentral lists this ribosomal RNA (82 nucleotides) under Silene damboldtiana. RNAcentral's name for it is "partial 26S ribosomal RNA". It matches the Rfam family "Eukaryotic large subunit ribosomal RNA", at positions 1 to 85 of the family's 3401-position model. The record is from RNAcentral. Lineage: Eukaryota; Viridiplantae; Streptophyta; Magnoliopsida; Caryophyllales; Caryophyllaceae.